AGCUCCAAGAGCGUAUAUUAAAGUUGUUGCAGUUAAAAAGCUCGUAGUUGAACGUUGGCGCGGGGACCCGGUCCGCCCUCUGGGCGAGUACUGACGCCCCCGCGUCUCUUUGGGGCGGCCUUUUAGGUUGUUCCAGUAUUACUUUGAGUAAAUGAGAGUGUUCAAAGCAGGCGCACGCUUGAAUCUGUUAGCAUGGAAUAAUAGAAUAGGACGCAUGGUUCUAUUUUGUUGGUUUCUAGGACCAUCGUAAUGAUUAAUAGGGACGGUCGGGGGCAUCAGUAUUCAGUUGUCAGAGGUGAAAUUCUUGGAUUUACUGAAGACUAACUACUGCGAAAGCAUUUGCCAAGGACGUUUUCA
This 357-nucleotide ribosomal RNA is filed under the name uncultured eukaryote. RNAcentral describes it as "SSU rRNA". It matches the Rfam family "Eukaryotic small subunit ribosomal RNA", at positions 587 to 972 of the family's 1831-position model. The record is from RNAcentral.